RNAcentral lists this ribosomal RNA (195 nucleotides) under uncultured prokaryote. RNAcentral's name for it is "partial 16S ribosomal RNA". It matches the Rfam family "Bacterial small subunit ribosomal RNA", at positions 524 to 718 of the family's 1533-position model. The record is from RNAcentral.
UACAGAGGUCCCAAGCGUUGUUCGGCGUCCCUGUUCUUCCCUCUCUCUUAGGCGGCUUGACAAGUCACUUGUGAAAUCUCCGGGCUUAACUCGGAAUGGCCAAGUGAAACUGUCAUGCUAGAGUGCAGAAGGGGCAAUCGGAAUUCUUGGUGUAGCGGUGAAAUGCGUAGAUAUCAAGAGGAACACCUGAGGUGA